RNAcentral lists this ribosomal RNA (1097 nucleotides) under Clostridioides difficile. RNAcentral's name for it is "bacterial LSU rRNA". It matches the Rfam family "Bacterial large subunit ribosomal RNA", at positions 1116 to 2231 of the family's 2925-position model. Lineage: Bacteria; Bacillati; Bacillota; Clostridia; Peptostreptococcales; Peptostreptococcaceae. The record is from RNAcentral.
CACUCAUUCAAAGAGUGCGUAAUAGCUCACUGGUCGAGUGAUCCUGCGCCGAAGAUUUCCGGGGCUAAAACUUACUACCGAAGCUACGGCAUCAGUAAUGAUGGGUAGGGGAGCUUCCCAUACGGGUUGAAGCAUGACCGUAAGGACAUGUGGACAGUAUGGGAGUGAGAAUGUUGGCAUGAGUAGCGAGAUGUGGGUGAGAAUCCCACAGGCCGUAAACCCAAGGUUUCCAGGGGAAGGUUCGUCCGCCCUGGGUUAGUCGGGACCUAAGCUGAGGCCGAAAGGCGUAGGUGAUGGACAACAGGUUGAUAUUCCUGUACUACCGAUAACCGUUUGAGAGAUGGGAUGACACAGUAGGAUCAGCUAAGCACACUGUUGGUUAUGUGUGCCCAAGCAUUGAGGCAGUCAAAGUAGGUAAAUCCGCUUUGAUAAUGCUGGGAUGUGAUGGGGAGCGAAAUUUAGUAGCGAAGUAGCUGAUUUCACACUGUCAAGAAAAGUCUCUAUCGAGGUUAAAGGUACCCGUACCGCAAACCGACACAGGUGGGUGAGGAGAGUAUCCUAAGGCCAGCGAGAGAACUGUUGUUAAGGAACUCGGCAAAAUGACCCCGUAACUUAGGGAUAAGGGGUGCCACCAUCAGGUGGCCGCAGAGAAUAGGCCCAAGCGACUGUUUACCAAAAACAUAGGUGUCUGCUAAGUCGCAAGACGAUGUAUAGGAGCUGACGCCUGCCCGGUGCUGGAAGGUUAAGGGGAUCUGUUAGAGCAAUCGAAGCAGUGAACUUAAGCCCCAGUAAACGGCGGCCGUAACUAUAACGGUCCUAAGGUAGCGAAAUUCCUUGUCGGGUAAGUUCCGACCCGCACGAAAGGCGUAACGAUUUGGGCACUGUCUCAACAACAGACUCGGUGAAAUUGUAAUUCCGGUGAAGAUGCCGGAUACCUGCGACAGGACGGAAAGACCCCAUGGAGCUUUACUGUAGCUUGACAUUGGGUCUUGGUACUACAUGUACAGGAUAGGUGGGAGGCUUUGAAACCAGGACGCCAGUUUUGGCGGAGCCAUCCUUGGGAUACCACCCUUGUAGUACUGGGACUCUAACCAUAG